UACAUUUGAGUGAGUGGCGAACUUGGUGAGUAACACGUGGGAAACCUGCCCAGAAGCGGGGGAUAACACCUGGAAACAGAUGCUAAUACCGCAUAACAACUUGGACCGCAUGGUCCGAGCUUGAAAGAUGGCUUCGGCUAUCACUUUUGGAUGGUCCCGCGGCGUAUUAGCUAGAUGGUGGGGUAACGGCUCACCAUGGCAAUGAUACGUAGCCGACCUGAGAGGGUAAUCGGCCACAUUGGGACUGAGACACGGCCCAAACUCCUACGGGAGGCAGCAGUAGGGAAUCUUCCACAAUGGACGAAAGUCUGAUGGAGCAACGCCGCGUGAGUGAAGAAGGGUUUCGGCUCGUAAAACUCUGUUGUUAAAGAAGAACAUAUCUGAGAGUAACUGUUCAGGUAUUGACGGUAUUUAACCAGAAAGCCACGGCUAACUACGUGCCAGCAGCCGCGGUAAUACGUAGGUGGCAAGCGUUGUCCGGAUUUAUUGGGCGUAAAGCGAGCGCAGGCGGUUUUUUAAGUCUGAUGUGAAAGCCUUCGGCUCAACCGAAGAAGUGCAUCGGAAACUGGGAAACUUGAGUGCAGAAGAGGACAGUGGAACUCCAUGUGUAGCGGUGAAAUGCGUAGAUAUAUGGAAGAACACCAGUGGCGAAGGCGGCUGUCUGGUCUGUAACUGACGCUGAGGCUCGAAAGUAUGGGUAGCAAACAGGAUUAGAUACCCUGGUAGUCCAUACCGUAAACGAUGAAUGCUAAGUGUUGGAGGGUUUCCGCCCUUCAGUGCUGCAGCUAACGCAUUAAGCAUUCCGCCUGGGGAGUACGGCCGCAAGGCUGAAACUCAAAGGAAUUGACGGGGGCCCGCACAAGCGGUGGAGCAUGUGGUUUAAUUCGAAGCUACGCGAAGAACCUUACCAGGUCUUGACAUACUAUGCAAAUCUAAGAGAUUAGACGUUCCCUUCGGGGACAUGGAUACAGGUGGUGCAUGGUUGUCGUCAGCUCGUGUCGUGAGAUGUUGGGUUAAGUCCCGCACGAGCGCAACCCUUAUUAUCAGUUGCCAGCAUUAAGUUGGGACUCUGGUGAGACUGCCGGUGACAAACCGGAGGAAGGUGGGGAUGACGUCAAAUCAUCAUGCCCCUUAUGACCUGGGCUACACACGUGCUACAAUGGAUGGUACAACGAGUUGCGAACUCGCGAGAGUAAGCUAAUCUCUUAAAGCCAUUCUCAGUUCGGAUUGUAGGCUGCAACUCGCCUACAUGAAGUCGGAAUCGCUAGUAAUCGCGGAUCAGCAUGCCGCGGUGAAUACGUUCCCGGGCCUUGUACACACCGCCCGUCACACCAUGAGAGUUUGUAACACCCAAAGUCGGUGG
This 1363-nucleotide ribosomal RNA is filed under the name Lactiplantibacillus plantarum subsp. plantarum. RNAcentral's name for it is "bacterial SSU rRNA". It matches the Rfam family "Bacterial small subunit ribosomal RNA", at positions 82 to 1433 of the family's 1533-position model. The record is from RNAcentral. Lineage: Bacteria; Bacillati; Bacillota; Bacilli; Lactobacillales; Lactobacillaceae.